UAGAUAAAUGCUCGCUGGUUAGAGCGCUUAGCUGUUAACUAAGAGUUUACAGGAUCGAGGCCUGUUUAUCUAG
Molecule: transfer RNA, 73 nt
Filed under: Halieutaea stellata (batfish)
Lineage: Eukaryota; Metazoa; Chordata; Actinopteri; Lophiiformes; Ogcocephalidae
Also listed under: 1 other name
Description: tRNA-Asn
Rfam family: tRNA
About the family: Transfer RNA (tRNA) molecules are approximately 80 nucleotides in length. Their secondary structure includes four short double-helical elements and three loops (D, anti-codon, and T loops).
Source: RNAcentral